Molecule: ribosomal RNA, 484 nt
Filed under: uncultured bacterium
Lineage: Bacteria
Description: partial 16S ribosomal RNA
Rfam family: Bacterial small subunit ribosomal RNA
Source: RNAcentral
AUUGAACGCUGGCGGCAGGCCUAACACAUGCAAGUCGAGCGGAUGAAGGGAGCUUGCUCCUGGAUUCAGCGGCGGACGGGUGAGUAAUGCCUAGGAAUCUGCCUGGUAGUGGGGGAUAACGUCCGGAAACGGGCGCUAAUACCGCAUACGUCCUGAGGGAGAAAGUGGGGGAUCUUCGGACCUCACGCUAUCAGAUGAGCCUAGGUCGGAUUAGCUAGUUGGUGGGGUAAAGGCCUACCAAGGCGACGAUCCGUAACUGGUCUGAGAGGAUGAUCAGUCACACUGGAACUGAGACACGGUCCAGACUCCUACGGGAGGCAGCAGUGGGGAAUAUUGGACAAUGGGCGAAAGCCUGAUCCAGCCAUGCCGCGUGUGUGAAGAAGGUCUUCGGAUUGUAAGGCACUUUAAGUUGGGAGGAAGGGCAGUAAGUUAAUACCGUGCUGUUUUGACGUUACCAACAGAAUAAGCACCGGCUAACUUCGUG